Long non-coding RNA from Nycticebus coucang (slow loris), 644 nucleotides. RefSeq lists it as uncharacterized. The record is from RefSeq and is a predicted model, not a curated record. NCBI's taxonomy places the organism in Eukaryota, Metazoa, Chordata, Mammalia, Primates, Lorisidae. The transcript is spliced from 3 exons.
CGGAACUGCUGAGCAGUCCUCAUCGUCUGCAUAUAAAUACAUUCACUUCAAAUUCUGUGGUCUUAAGAACUGAGGGGGACAAGUGAAUGCAGGGAGUGGCAGCUUAGUGUUCAAGGAGUCACAGAGAUGUGACUUUGUAUCCCAUAUGGGGCCAUAGUUUUGUUCUUGGAAUAAAUGCAACAUGUCCAGAGCUCACAGAAGCAGAAGUCAAUUAGCAAUGGCUGUCUUCUCACGCGGCUCAGCUGUGGCCCAGGAGAUCUGACAGGGUUGGCGUUGGGUCUGGGUCCCCUCUGGACAGUGUGAGCUAUUCGUGUCAUCCUGUUGACUUUUCACACAUUUCUGUCUUCUCCUUCAGCCUCCCUUCCCAGUACUCUGCCCAAAGCGCUCGCCUUUCCAGUCAGAGAAUCAUCUGUCCGGUGACAGAAUGCCACCAGCAAGAGCCAGUGCCACUGGCUGCUAGUCCACUCUGCCAGGGAGCACAGCUCACCAUGCAGCGAAACUCUCCAGGGAAGUGCUCUCAACUGGAGUUUACAGGAGAUAUUCUACUUAUUGAAAAAGAAAAGUUACCCGUGGAACAGCACAGGCAGAUCCUUCAGGAAGUCUUCCAGAAGAAGGCACUGUUACUCGAGGAGGUAACAGCUCCG